AACCUGCGGAGGGAUCAUUACCGAGUGAGGGCCCCGUGCCCGACCUCCAACCCUUUGUGAACCCAUCUCGUUGCUUCGGGGGCGGCCCUGCCGGCAUCCGUCGGCGGGCGCCCCCGGGGGUCUGCCAACACUGCAUCUCUGCGUCGGAGUUUGAAUCAAUCAUACAAAACUUUCAACAACGGAUCUCUUGGUUCUGGCAUCGAUGAAGAACGCAGCGAAAUGCGAUAAGUAAUGUGAAUUGCAGAAUUCAGUGAAUCAUCGAAUCUUUGAACGCACAUUGCGCCCUCUGGUAUUCCGGAGGGCAUGCCUGUUCGAGCGUCAUUUCACCACUCAAGCCUGGCUUGGUAUUGGGCGUCGCGGUCCGCCGCGCGCCUCAAAGUCUCCCGGCUGAGCUGUCCGUCUCCUAGCGUUGUGGAAUCAACUAUUCGCUUGGGAGCGCGGGCGGCCGCGGCCGUUAAAUCUCCAUUGAAAGGUUGACCUCGGAUCAGGUAGGGAUA
Molecule: ribosomal RNA, 497 nt
Filed under: Pseudocercospora ocimi-basilici
Lineage: Eukaryota; Fungi; Ascomycota; Dothideomycetes; Mycosphaerellales; Mycosphaerellaceae
Description: eukaryotic LSU rRNA
Rfam family: 5.8S ribosomal RNA (bases 168-321)
Source: RNAcentral